GCCGACAUGGCGCAGUGGUAACGCGUCGCACUUGUAUACCACUCUUGGCAUUUAAUGCGAAGGUAAAUAAUAUACCUUCAGAUGUUCAAUAAACUCAUCUAACCAUAAUUAUCUGUAGAUCCCUAGUUCAAUUCUGGGUGUCGGCA
RNAcentral lists this transfer RNA (146 nucleotides) under Lachnellula hyalina. It matches the Rfam family "tRNA". Rfam says of the family: Transfer RNA (tRNA) molecules are approximately 80 nucleotides in length. Their secondary structure includes four short double-helical elements and three loops (D, anti-codon, and T loops). Further hydrogen bonds mediate the characteristic L-shaped molecular structure. tRNAs have two regions of fundamental functional importance: the anti-codon, which is responsible for specific mRNA codon recognition, and the 3' end, to which the tRNAs corresponding amino acid is attached (by aminoacyl-tRNA synthetases). tRNAs cope with the degeneracy of the genetic code in two manners: having more than one tRNA (with a specific anti-codon) for a particular amino acid; and 'wobble' base-pairing, i.e. permitting non-standard base-pairing at the 3rd anti-codon position. The record is from Rfam by way of RNAcentral. Lineage: Eukaryota; Fungi; Ascomycota; Leotiomycetes; Helotiales; Lachnaceae.